RNAcentral lists this ribosomal RNA (2714 nucleotides) under Zea mays. RNAcentral describes it as "eukaryotic LSU rRNA". The stretch from base 377 to 2714 matches the Rfam family "Eukaryotic large subunit ribosomal RNA". The record is from RNAcentral. Lineage: Eukaryota; Viridiplantae; Streptophyta; Magnoliopsida; Poales; Poaceae.
ACUCUCGGCAACGGAUAUCUCGGCUCUCGCAUCGAUGAAGAACGUAGCAAAAUGCUAUACCUGGUGUGAAUUGCAGAAUCCCGCGAACCAUCGAGUUUUUGAACGCAAGUUGCGCCCGAAGCCUUCUGGCGGAGGGCACGUCUGCCUGGGCGUCACGCCAAAAGACACUCCCAACACCCCCCCGCGGGGCGAGGGACGUGGCGUCUGGCCCCCCGCGCCGCAGGGUGAGGUGGGCCGAAGCAGGGGCUGCCGGCGAACCGCGCCGGGCGCAGCACGUGGUGGGCGACAUCAAGUUGUUCUCGGUGCAGCGUCCCGGCGCGCGGCCGACCAUUCGGCCCUAAGGACCCAUCGAGCGACCGAGCUUGCCCUCGGACCGCGACCCCAGGUCAGUCGGGACUACCCGCUGAGUUUAAGCAUAUAAAUAAGCGGAGGAGAAGAAACUUACGAGGAUUCCCCUAGUAACGGCGAGCGAACCGGGAGCAGCCCAGCUUGAGAAUCGGGCGGCCUCGCCGCCCGAAUUGUAGUCUGGAGAGGCGUCCUCAGCGACGGACCGGGCCCAAGUUCUCUGGAAAGGGACGCCUGGGAGGGUGAGAGCCCCGUCCGGCCCGGACCCUGUCGCACCACGAGGCGCCGUCAACGAGUCGGGUUGUUUGGGAAUGCAGCCCAAAUCGGGCGGUAAACUCCGUCCAAGGCUAAAUACAGGCGAGAGACUGAUAGCGAACAAGUACCGCGAGGGAAAGAUGAAAAGGACUUUGAAAAGAGAGUCAAAGAGUGCUUGAAAUUGCCGGGAGGGAAGCGGAUGGGGGCUGGCGACGCGCCCCGGCCGUAUGAGGAACGGCUCCUGCUGGUCCGCCGAUCGGCUCGGGGCGUGGACCGUUGUCGCCCGCGCCGGCGGCCAAAGCCCGGGGGGCCCUAGGCGCCCCCGGCAGCCGUCGUCGGCGCGGACGGUAUCCGCGCGCCUCUGGCACGCCCCUCGGGGCGCUGCGCCGCAACGGCCUGCGAGCUCCCCAUCCGACCCGUCUUGAAACACGGACCAAGGAGUCUGACAUGCGUGCGAGUCAACGGGUUCAGAAACCUGAGAUGCGCAAGGAAGCUGACGAGCGGGAGGCCCUCACGGGCCGCACCGCUGGUCGACCCUGAUCUUCUGUGAAGGGUUCGAGUUGGAGCACGCCUGUCGGGACCCGAAAGAUGGUGAACUAUGCCUGAGCGGGGCGAAGCCAGAGGAAACUCUGGUGGAGGCUCGAAGCGAUACUGCCGUGCAAAUCGUUCGUCUGACUUGGGUAUAGGGGCGAAAGACUAAUUGAACCAUCUAGUAGCUGGUUCCCUCCGAAGUUUCCCUCAGGAUAGCUGGAGCCCACACGAGUUCUAUCGGGUAAAGCCAAUGAAUAGAGGCAUCGGGGGCGCAACGCCCUCGACCUAUUCUCAAACUUUAAAUAGGUAGGACAGCGCGGCUGCUUCGGUGAGCCGUGCCACGGAAUCGGGAGCUCCAAGUGGGCCAUUUUUGGUAAGCAGAACUGGCGAUGCGGGAUGAACCGGAAGCCGGGUUACGGUGCCAAACUGCGCGCUAACCUAGAACCCACAAAGGGUGUUGGUCGAUUAAGACAGCAGGACAGUGGUCAUGGAAGUCGAAAUCCGCUAAGGAGUGUGUAACAACUCACCUGCCGAAUCAACUAGCCCCGAAAAUGGAUGGCGCUGAAGCGCGCGACCCACACCCGGCCAUCUGGGCGAGCGACAUGCCCCGAUGAGUAGGAGGGCGCUGUUGGAGACUUGUUCUCAAAUGCUAUAAAUUAAGAACAAGGCAACACAAGAAACGUUAAACGUUAAGGUCCUUCGUCCUUCGAAGCAUUAUUUCCCUUAGGAUAUAAUGAUUUUCGGACGAAGGUUAUGAAGGACUUACCUUCAUAAAUACGGCAUAAAACAAUGAGGAAAGAAACAUAUGAAACAUGAUGAAUGACAUAAUAUAUAUUGUAAUCAAUUCAUUUCCAUAUUAUCACCAUAAGAAAAAUGAAAAUGAAUUCAAAUUACAAAUGUACCUUCGGCUCGAAAGAAGAUGAAAGUACAAGCGUGAUGCUAAAGCAAAUGCCAAGUCAGCGUGAACAGUACGGGGGUACUGUUCACAUAUUUAUAGACACGGGGUACAACCCAUACAAAAUUACAUACAUGCCCUUUACAUUUGAUGGUAAUUCUAUAGUAAUCUAUCGAGGUCUGAAUGGCCUUUUCAUCUUUAAGUCGGUUCCCCUUUCUGCAAUCAUGCCGAAGCUUUCCUGCUCACAUCUUCGGCGCUGUAUCAACCUUCGCAUCUUCUGAGCUUCUUCCUCUAUGGUACCGAUACGAGUUCGAAGAUACCUGUUCACACAUUAUACUCCAGAAACACUGUUAAAUCAUGUUUUUGAGGUCCUUCGGAAGCCGAAGGCCCCCAACAGUAGCCCCUCGCAAUAUUAAUUUGUUAAAAUAAUAAAUUUAGAUUGCGACAUGGACGAAGGCUUUAAGCCGAAGGUCCGAAAAAACACCUUCCCUUUGCUAGAAUAGCAACAUUCACUGACAGGCGGGGUCUUUCAAUUUUUACCGCACUGAGCGUAUAAAUAAGAGCAUACCGCGAGCUUAUUUGGUACGCUCUCUUGUCAAUUGCUCUCGAUCACUCGAUUUUUAGCUUUUGCGCGUUAAAAUUCCCUGAGUCUUUAGUUUUAAAGCUUCGGCUUUGAAAAUAGUUUUUU